Molecule: small RNA, 132 nt
Filed under: Klebsiella michiganensis
Lineage: Bacteria; Pseudomonadati; Pseudomonadota; Gammaproteobacteria; Enterobacterales; Enterobacteriaceae
Description: RtT sRNA
Rfam family: RtT RNA
About the family: This family represents a bacterial cis-regulatory element known as RtT RNA. The exact function of RtT is unknown although it is thought that it may be involved in changing the cellular response in relation to amino acid starvation.
Source: RNAcentral
UGUUUGCACUUAUCGGGAAGGGUGAGAAUCUUCGACCAAGGUUCGAGUCGAGCAAAAGCGAGACAACGUUGCCGCAGGCAACGGCCCGAAGGGUGAGGAGCGAAGCGACGAAUAAUCCUUCCCCCACCACCA